GACGAACGCUGGCGGCGUGCUUAACACAUGCGAGUCGAACGAAGAGCGAUGGAAGCUUGCUUCUAUCAAUCUUAGUGGCGAACGGGUGAGUAACGCGUAAUCAACCUGCCCUUCAGAGGGGGACAACAGUUGGAAACGACUGCUAAUACCGCAUACGAUCUAAUCUCGGCAUCGAGGAUAGAUGAAAGGUGGCCUCUACAUGUAAGCUAUCACUGAAGGAGGGGAUUGCGUCUGAUUAGCUAGUUGGAGGGGUAACGGCCCACCAAGGCGAUGAUCAGUAGCCGGUCUGAGAGGAUGAACGGCCACAUUGGGACUGAGACACGGCCCAGACGCCUACGGGAGGCAGCAGUGGGGAAUCUUCCGCAAUGGACGAAAGUCCGACGGAGCAACGCCGCGUGAGUGAUGACGGCCUUCGGGUUGUAAAGCUCUGUUAAUCGGGACGAAAGGCCUUCUUGCGAAUAGUGAGAAGGAUUGACGGUACCGGAAUAGAAAGCCACGGCUAACUACGUG
RNAcentral lists this ribosomal RNA (510 nucleotides) under uncultured bacterium. RNAcentral's name for it is "partial 16S ribosomal RNA". It matches the Rfam family "Bacterial small subunit ribosomal RNA", at positions 28 to 507 of the family's 1533-position model. The record is from RNAcentral.